CCAGCGCAGGGGCUUCUGCUGAGGGGGCAGGCGGAGCUUGAGGAAACCGCAGAUAAGUUUUUUUCUCUUUGAAAGAUAGAGAUUAAUACAACUACUUAAAAAAUAUAGUCAAUAGGUUACUAAGAUAUUGCUUAGCGUUAAGUUUUUAACGUAAUUUUAAUAGCUUAAGAUUUUAAGAGAAAAUAUGAAGACUUAGAAGAGUAGCAUGAGGAAGGAAAAGAUAAAAGGUUUCUAAAACAUGACGGAGGUUGAGAUGAAGCUUCUUCAUGGAGUAAAAAAUGUAUUUAAAAGAAAAUUGAGAGAAAGGACUACAGAGCCCCGAAUUAAUACCAAUAGAAGGGCAAUGCUUUUAGAUUAAAAUGAAGGUGACUUAAACAGCUUAAAGUUUAGUUUAAAAGUUGUAGGUGAUUAAAAUAAUUUGAAGGCGAUCUUUUAAAAAGAGAUUAAACCGAAGGUGAUUAAAAGACCUUGAAAUCCAUGACGCAGGGAGAAUUGCGUCAUUUAAAGCCUAGUUAACGCAUUUACUAAACGCAGACGAAAAUGGAAAGAUUAAUUGGGAGUGGUAGGAUGAAACAAUUUGGAGAAGAUAGAAGUUUGAAGUGGAAAACUGGAAGACAGAAGUACGGGAAGGCGAAGAAAAGAAUAGAGAAGAUAGGGAAAUUAGAAGAUAAAAACAUACUUUUAGAAGAAAAAAGAUAAAUUUAAACCUGAAAAGUAGGAAGCAGAAGAAAAAAGACAAGCUAGGAAACAAAAAGCUAAGGGCAAAAUGUACAAACUUAGAAGAAAAUUGGAAGAUAGAAACAAGAUAGAAAAUGAAAAUAUUGUCAAGAGUUUCAGAUAGAAAAUGAAAAACAAGCUAAGACAAGUAUUGGAGAAGUAUAGAAGAUAGAAAAAUAUAAAGCCAAAAAUUGGAUAAAAUAGCACUGAAAAAAUGAGGAAAUUAUUGGUAACCAAUUUAUUUUAAAAGCCCAUCAAUUUAAUUUCUGGUGGUGCAGAAGUUAGAAGGUAAAGCUUGAGAAGAUGAGGGUGUUUACGUAGACCAGAACCAAUUUAGAAGAAUACUUGAAGCUAGAAGGGGAAGUUGGUUAAAAAUCACAUCAAAAAGCUACUAAAAGGACUGGUGUAAUUUAAAAAAAACUAAGGCAGAAGGCUUUUGGAAGAGUUAGAAGAAUUUGGAAGGCCUUAAAUAUAGUAGCUUAGUUUGAAAAAUGUGAAGGACUUUCGUAACGGAAGUAAUUCAAGAUCAAGAGUAAUUACCAACUUAAUGUUUUUGCAUUGGACUUUGAGUUAAGAUUAUUUUUUAAAUCCUGAGGACUAGCAUUAAUUGACAGCUGACCCAGGUGCUACACAGAAGUGGAUUCAGUGAAUCUAGGAAGACAGCAGCAGACAGGAUUCCAGGAACCAGUGUUUGAUGAAGCUAGGACUGAGGAGCAAGCGAGCAAGCAGCAGUUCGUGGUGAAGAUAGGAAAAGAGUCCAGGAGCCAGUGCGAUUUGGUGAAGGAAGCUAGGAAGAAGGAAGGAGCGCUAACGAUUUGGUGGUGAAGCUAGGAAAAAGGAUUCCAGGAAGGAGCGAGUGCAAUUUGGUGAUGAAGGUAGCAGGCGGCUUGGCUUGGCAACCACACGGAGGAGGCGAGCAGGCGUUGUGCGUAGAGGAUCCUAGACCAGCAUGCCAGUGUGCCAAGGCCACAGGGAAAGCGAGUGGUUGGUAAAAAUCCGUGAGGUCGGCAAUAUGUUGUUUUUCUGGAACUUACUUAUGGUAACCUUUUAUUUAUUUUCUAAUAUAAUGGGGGAGUUUCGUACUGAGGUGUAAAGGGAUUUAUAUGGGGACGUAGGCCGAUUUCCGGGUGUUGUAGGUUUCUCUUUUUCAGGCUUAUACUCAUGAAUCUUGUCUGAAGCUUUUGAGGGCAGACUGCCAAGUCCUGGAGAAAUAGUAGAUGGCAAGUUUGUGGGUUUUUUUUUUUUACACGAAUUUGAGGAAAACCAAAUGAAUUUGAUAGCCAAAUUGAGACAAUUUCAGCAAAUCUGUAAGCAGUUUGUAUGUUUAGUUGGGGUAAUGAAGUAUUUCAGUUUUGUGAAUAGAUGACCUGUUUUUACUUCCUCACCCUGAAUUCGUUUUGUAAAUGUAGAGUUUGGAUGUGUAACUGAGGCGGGGGGGAGUUUUCAGUAUUUUUUUUUGUGGGGGUGGGGGCAAAAUAUGUUUUCAGUUCUUUUUCCCUUAGGUCUGUCUAGAAUCCUAAAGGCAAAUGACUCAAGGUGUAACAGAAAACAAGAAAAUCCAAUAUCAGGAUAAUCAGACCACCACAGGUUUACAGUUUAUAGAAACUAGAGCAGUUCUCACGUUGAGGUCUGUGGAAGAGAUGUCCAUUGGAGAAAUGGCUGGUAGUUACUCUUUUUUCCCCCCACCCCCUUAAUCAGACUUUAAAAGUGCUUAACCCCUUAAACUUGUUAUUUUUUACUUGAAGCAUUUUGGGAUGGUCUUAACAGGGAAGAGAGAGGGUGGGGGAGAAAAUGUUUUUUUCUAAGAUUUUCCACAGAUGCUAUAGUACUAUUGACAAACUGGGUUAGAGAAGGAGUGUACCGCUGUGCUGUUGGCACGAACACCUUCAGGGACUGGAGCUGCUUUUAUCCUUGGAAGAGUAUUCCCAGUUGAAGCUGAAAAGUACAGCACAGUGCAGCUUUGGUUCAUAUUCAGUCAUCUCAGGAGAACUUCAGAAGAGCUUGAGUAGGCCAAAUGUUGAAGUUAAGUUUUCCAAUAAUGUGACUUCUUAAAAGUUUUAUUAAAGGGGAGGGGCAAAUAUUGGCAAUUAGUUGGCAGUGGCCUGUUACGGUUGGGAUUGGUGGGGUGGGUUUAGGUAAUUGUUUAGUUUAUGAUUGCAGAUAAACUCAUGCCAGAGAACUUAAAGUCUUAGAAUGGAAAAAGUAAAGAAAUAUCAACUUCCAAGUUGGCAAGUAACUCCCAAUGAUUUAGUUUUUUUCCCCCCAGUUUGAAUUGGGAAGCUGGGGGAAGUUAAAUAUGAGCCACUGGGUGUACCAGUGCAUUAAUUUGGGCAAGGAAAGUGUCAUAAUUUGAUACUGUAUCUGUUUUCCUUCAAAGUAUAGAGCUUUUGGGGAAGGAAAGUAUUGAACUGGGGGUUGGUCUGGCCUACUGGGCUGACAUUAACUACAAUUAUGGGAAAUGCAAAAGUUGUUUGGAUAUGGUAGUGUGUGGUUCUCUUUUGGAAUUUUUUUCAGGUGAUUUAAUAAUAAUUUAAAACUACUAUAGAAACUGCAGAGCAAAGGAAGUGGCUUAAUGAUCCUGAAGGGAUUUCUUCUGAUGGUAGCUUUUGUAUUAUCAAGUAAGAUUCUAUUUUCAGUUGUGUGUAAGCAAGUUUUUUUUUAGUGUAGGAGAAAUACUUUUCCAUUGUUUAACUGCAAAACAAGAUGUUAAGGUAUGCUUCAAAAAUUUUGUAAAUUGUUUAUUUUAAACUUAUCUGUUUGUAAAUUGUAACUGAUUAAGAAUUGUGAUAGUUCAGCUUGAAUGUCUCUUAGAGGGUGGGCUUUUGUUGAUGAGGGAGGGGAAACUUUUUUUUUUUCUAUAGACUUUUUUCAGAUAACAUCUUCUGAGUCAUAACCAGCCUGGCAGUAUGAUGGCCUAGAUGCAGAGAAAACAGCUCCUUGGUGAAUUGAUAAGUAAAGGCAGAAAAGAUUAUAUGUCAUACCUCCAUUGGGGAAUAAGCAUAACCCUGAGAUUCUUACUACUGAUGAGAACAUUAUCUGCAUAUGCCAAAAAAUUUUAAGCAAAUGAAAGCUACCAAUUUAAAGUUACGGAAUCUACCAUUUUAAAGUUAAUUGCUUGUCAAGCUAUAACCACAAAAAUAAUGAAUUGAUGAGAAAUACAAUGAAGAGGCAAUGUCCAUCUCAAAAUACUGCUUUUACAAAAGCAGAAUAAAAGCGAAAAGAAAUGAAAAUGUUACACUACAUUAAUCCUGGAAUAAAAGAAGCCGAAAUAAAUGAGAGAUGAGUUGGGAUCAAGUGGAUUGAGGAGGCUGUGCUGUGUGCCAAUGUUUCGUUUGCCUCAGACAGGUAUCUCUUCGUUAUCAGAAGAGUUGCUUCAUUUCAUCUGGGAGCAGAAAACAGCAGGCAGCUGUUAACAGAUAAGUUUAACUUGCAUCUGCAGUAUUGCAUGUUAGGGAUAAGUGCUUAUUUUUAAGAGCUGUGGAGUUCUUAAAUAUCAACCAUGGCACUUUCUCCUGACCCCUUCCCUAGGGGAUUUCAGGAUUGAGAAAUUUUUCCAUCGAGCCUUUUUAAAAUUGUAGGACUUGUUCCUGUGGGCUUCAGUGAUGGGAUAGUACACUUCACUCAGAGGCAUUUGCAUCUUUAAAUAAUUUCUUAAAAGCCUCUAAAGUGAUCAGUGCCUUGAUGCCAACUAAGGAAAUUUGUUUAGCAUUGAAUCUCUGAAGGCUCUAUGAAAGGAAUAGCAUGAUGUGCUGUUAGAAUCAGAUGUUACUGCUAAAAUUUACAUGUUGUGAUGUAAAUUGUGUAGAAAACCAUUAAAUCAUUCAAAAUAAUAAACUAUUUUUAUUAGAGAAUGUAUACUUUUAGAAAGCUGUCUCCUUAUUUAAAUAAAAUAGUGUUUGUCUGUAGUUCAGUGUUGGGGCAAUCUUGGGGGGGAUUCUUCUCUAAUCUUUCAGAAACUUUGUCUGCGAACACUCUUUAAUGGACCAGAUCAGGAUUUGAGCGGAAGAACGAAUGUAACUUUAAGGCAGGAAAGACAAAUUUUAUUCUUCAUAAAGUGAUGAGCAUAUAAUAAUUCCAGGCACAUGGCAAUAGAGGCCCUCUAAAUAAGGAAUAAAUAACCUCUUAGACAGGUGGGAGAUUAUGAUCAGAGUAAAAGGUAAUUACACAUUUUAUUUCCAGAAAGUCAGGGGUCUAUAAAUUGACAGUGAUUAGAGUAAUACUUUUUCACAUUUCCAAAGUUUGCAUGUUAACUUUAAAUGCUUACAAUCUUAGAGUGGUAGGCAAUGUUUUACACUAUUGACCUUAUAUAGGGAAGGGAGGGGGUGCCUGUGGGGUUUUAAAGAAUUUUCCUUUGCAGAGGCAUUUCAUCCUUCAUGAAGCCAUUCAGGAUUUUGAAUUGCAUAUGAGUGCUUGGCUCUUCCUUCUGUUCUAGUGAGUGUAUGAGACCUUGCAGUGAGUUUAUCAGCAUACUCAAAAUUUUUUUCCUGGAAUUUGGAGGGAUGGGAGGAGGGGGUGGGGCUUACUUGUUGUAGCUUUUUUUUUUUUUACAGACUUCACAGAGAAUGCAGUUGUCUUGACUUCAGGUCUGUCUGUUCUGUUGGCAAGUAAAUGCAGUACUGUUCUGAUCCCGCUGCUAUUAGAAUGCAUUGUGAAACGACUGGAGUAUGAUUAAAAGUUGUGUUCCCCAAUGCUUGGAGUAGUGAUUGUUGAAGGAAAAAAUCCAGCUGAGUGAUAAAGGCUGAGUGUUGAGGAAAUUUCUGCAGUUUUAAGCAGUCGUAUUUGUGAUUGAAGCUGAGUACAUUUUGCUGGUGUAUUUUUAGGUAAAAUGCUUUUUGUUCAUUUCUGGUGGUGGGAGGGGACUGAAGCCUUUAGUCUUUUCCAGAUGCAACCUUAAAAUCAGUGACAAGAAACAUUCCAAACAAGCAACAGUCUUCAAGAAAUUAAACUGGCAAGUGGAAAUGUUUAAACAGUUCAGUGAUCUUUAGUGCAUUGUUUAUGUGUGGGUUUCUCUCUCCCCUCCCUUGGUCUUAAUUCUUACAUGCAGGAACACUCAGCAGACACACGUAUGCGAAGGGCCAGAGAAGCCAGACCCAGUAAGAAAAAAUAGCCUAUUUACUUUAAAUAAACCAAACAUUCCAUUUUAAAUGUGGGGAUUGGGAACCACUAGUUCUUUCAGAUGGUAUUCUUCAGACUAUAGAAGGAGCUUCCAGUUGAAUUCACCAGUGGACAAAAUGAGGAAAACAGGUAAUAGCCUGCAGCUGGUGUUUUGAGAAGCCCUACUGCUGAAAACUUAACAAUUUUGUGUAAUAAAAAUGGAGAAGCUCUAAAUUGUUGUGGUUCUUUUGUGAAUAAAAAAAUCUUGAUUGGGGAAAAAA
This is a long non-coding RNA of Homo sapiens (human), 6092 nucleotides long. Ensembl annotates it as metastasis associated lung adenocarcinoma transcript 1. Its record names the gene MALAT1. The record is from Ensembl. Lineage: Eukaryota; Metazoa; Chordata; Mammalia; Primates; Hominidae.